ACUAAAUAGAUACCAGGUAGUCCACGCUGUAAACGAUGAGUGCUAGAUGCCGGAUUUUUUCGGUGUCGCAGCUAAACGCAUUAAGCACUCCACCUGGGAAGUACGAUCGCAAGGUUGAUACUCAAAGGAAUUGACGGGGGCCCGCACAAGCAGUGGAGCAUGUGGUUUAAUUCGAUGCAACGCGAAGAACCUUACCUAGGCUUGAAAAGCUUAUGACCGGCUGUGAAAGCAGCUUUCCCGCAAGGGCAUAAGUACAGGUGCUGCAUGGCUGUCGUCAGCUCGUGCCGUGAGGUGUUGGGUUAAGUCCCGCAACGAGCGCAACCCUUACCAUUAGUUGCCACCGGAGCAAUCCGAGCACUCUAAUGGAACUGCCUACGCAAGUAGUGAGGAAGGUGAGGAUGACGUCAAGUCCGCAUGGCCCUUACGCCUAGGGCUACACACGUGCUACAAUGGCCGCCACAACGGGCAGCAAAAUCGCGAGAUGGAGCGAAUCCCUAAAAAGCGGCCUCAGUUCGGA
RNAcentral lists this ribosomal RNA (517 nucleotides) under uncultured bacterium. Its description in RNAcentral is "bacterial SSU rRNA". It matches the Rfam family "Bacterial small subunit ribosomal RNA", at positions 772 to 1297 of the family's 1533-position model. The record is from RNAcentral.